AACGAACGCUGGCGGCAGGCCUAACACAUGCAAGUCGAACGGGAUCUUCGGAUCUAGUGGCGGACGGGUGAGUAACGCGUGGGAACGUGCCCUUUGGUUCGGAAUAGCCCCGGGAAACUGGGAGUAAUACCGGAUAAGCCCUACGGGGGAAAGAUUUAUCGCCAAAGGAUCGGCCCGCGUUGGAUCAGGUAGUUGGUGAGGUAAUGGCUCACCAAGCCGACGAUCCAUAGCUGGUUUGAGAGGAUGAUCAGCCACACUGGGACUGAGACACGGCCCAGACUCCUACGGGAGGCAGCAGUGGGGAAUCUUAGACAAUGGGGGAAACCCUGAUCUAGCCAUGUCGCGUGAUCGAUGAAGGCCUUAGGGUUGUAAAGAUCUUUCAGUGGGGAAGAUAAUGACUGUACCCACAGAAGAAGCCCCGGCUAACUCCGUGCCAGCCGCCGCAGUAA
This 449-nucleotide ribosomal RNA is filed under the name uncultured bacterium. RNAcentral describes it as "partial 16S ribosomal RNA". It matches the Rfam family "Bacterial small subunit ribosomal RNA", at positions 29 to 523 of the family's 1533-position model. The record is from RNAcentral.